Molecule: long non-coding RNA, 505 nt
Organism: Bos taurus (domestic cattle)
Lineage: Eukaryota; Metazoa; Chordata; Mammalia; Artiodactyla; Bovidae
Source: Ensembl
CAGUCUCUGUCCUCCAGUAAAUGCAAAUAUCCUGGAACAAGCGGCACCAUCAAGGGAGCGCAAAGAACCGGAUACUAGUACCAGUUCCGGUGCCGGUUCCUGAGAAACUGUGGGGCAACCUCCUCUAACUGGUCACAGGACACCUUCCUGAGGGACCAUCGUGGGUGGCCAGGACUCCACGGUAAACAGGACACUUAUGGAAAUUUCCCUUCUCAGGACAGUGCAUUGGGACUAUCCCCCAGAAGUCACGUGAAUGUUGGCCUGAGCUGAUUCUCUACUGGAGCCCUUGGCCCGAUCUCAUUGUUAUCUCUCCUGCUACCGGAAGUCAAACCUAAAAAUACAAACCCAAGUUUGUAGCCAACAUCAGGGUAAAAACAAACAAAAAACAACCAUUAAAACCAUUUCCACUUCUUUGGCAGAACAGGAAGUCAUUGCCCCAAUAGAGGAUGUUGAUACUUAAUUUCAGUAGAAAGACCAAGAGAAAGGAACUCAGCACAGUUAAGCC